RNAcentral lists this ribosomal RNA (433 nucleotides) under uncultured bacterium. Its description in RNAcentral is "partial 16S ribosomal RNA". It matches the Rfam family "Bacterial small subunit ribosomal RNA", at positions 29 to 507 of the family's 1533-position model. The record is from RNAcentral.
AACGAACGCUGGCGGCAUGCCUAACACAUGCAAGUCGAACGAGACCUUCGGGUCUAGUGGCGCACGGGUGCGUAACGCGUGGGAACCUGCCCUUAGGUUCGGAAUAACUCCCCGAAAGGGGUGCUAAUACCGGAUAAUGUCUUCGGACCAAAGAUUUAUCGCCUUUGGAGGGGCCCGCGUGGGAUUAGCUAGUUGGUAGGGUAAAAGCCUACCAAGGCGACGAUCCAUAGCUGGUCUGAGAGGAUGAUCAGCCACACUGGGACUGAGACACGGCCCAGACUCCUACGGGAGGCAGCAGUGGGGAAUAUUGGACGAUGGGCGAAAGCCUGAUCCAGCAAUGCCGCGUGAGUGAUGAAGGCCUUAGGGUUGUAAAGCUCUUUUACCCGGGAUGAUAAUGACAGUACCGGGAGAAUAAGCUCCGGCUAACUCCGUG